UGCUCAACAGGGGCAGAGGUGUGUGUGGGGUAGGGGGGGGAGUGGCGGGUGUCCAGUGAUUCAGCUACAUGUGAUAGAUGACCAAGUGACUUCUUCCUUGGGGUCCGCACAUCAGUGGAAGACACCCAACACUGGUGGUGGCUGACUUGAUCAAACUCUGGCUCCCCGAACUGGAAUGAAAUGCGGUUAACUCUUUAGAAAACUUUCGCAGGAAGAGCGCCUCGUGUGAUCUGGAACAAAGACAUUUUAUAAUCAGAUUUAUCAAGCUGUGAAGAGGGAGUUUCAGCAAACGGAAGCAGCAGCAUUCUGUCACCAGGAAAUACUGCUUCAUCCAGAAUUGAUAGAGUCGAUUGCUGUAAAUGGAUUGCAGCCCCUUGUUGUCCUCUGCUCUGCAUCCUGUAUUAAAAGUCCUCCCUUUUAUGCAAGAGCUCCUCCCCAGAAAACUGCAGAUCACCUAGCUGCUGGCGAAUGUAGGUACCCUCAAGGGCUCAGUAGCCAGUGUAGAUCCUGUCUUUUGGAAUCAGUAGCUACAUCUGGCUACUGGGUCUCUGAUGGCAUCUUCUGGCAUCCGUGACAGUGUCCUGAGCAAGUUUGCUGUGCUGUCCUUCAUAAUUUAAGUGUUACCUUGAUUUACAUACACACACUCACAUAGAGUUAAGUUCCGGAGUGGUACAUCUUCCAUUAUUAGCUGGCAUGUGAAUUGAUUUCAGCACCACAAGAAGGAGGAAUCCAUAGACUGUUUUUCUUUUUCUUUCCUCUUUUCCCCAUGUGGAAGGUGUCAUCUGUCACAAAAUCAUUUGUGUACCUACUUAACUUACCUACCUAUAUAUCUUAUCCAUCCACCCACCCUCCCAUCCAUCCACCCAUCCACCCAACUACCCAACUACCCAUCCAUCCAUCCAUCUACCCACCCAUCCACCCAUCUGUCCUUCUAUCCAUCCAUCCAUCCAUACAUACACACGUCCCUACCUACAUCCACCCACCCGUCCAUCCACCUAUUCAUCUGUCUACCCACCCAUCCAUCCAUCUUUGUCAUCUCUAGACUUUUAAAUGGCAUUUUUCACAAUUAUGUGAAUAAAAAUGACAAUUUUACAGUAUGACAGUUUAAGGACAUUUUACUUGUAGUUGAUGAGUCCCAACAGUGCAUUUUGACAUGUCUUUUCAGUGAGGUAGAUCUGAUACAUACUGGGAACUUGGAAUGCAGCCGGCAGUUAUGUUGAAAUCAUGCGUGGGGAGGACUUACAGGGCCAGCAUCCAGGUCUGGGGCGUGAACCUGGCAUACAAUGUAGACAUCUGUGUUUCUUGAGCAACAGCUACAUUGUCUGCUGGGUUUCAGGCUACCUGGAAACAUGUUCUUCAUGGUUAUACCCUCAGCGCUUCACUGGCAGGCUCUGGAAUAACUGUUUCCCAAGAGGCAGAAACCUCUUUGGCAUUGGGCAGUGGGCUUUGGCAUUAGACAGUGUAGAGCAAGGGCCUCAUGACGGCUGAUCACCUUAGCAAGGAAUUAUUUUGCUCUGAUUUCACCUAAGAUGCUCUCCCACACCAGCCUAGGAAACUGAACGAACCAGAGAAAAGGUGGAAUGCCAUUCGUCCUACCUUCUGCCUCAACUCUCAAACAGCGAUAACUUACGUGUUGUUAUUAAUUCGUAUUUGGUUUCUGUUCGUAAUUACUGUCACCAGGCAUAGCACCUAUGGGCCCGGUCACACUUCCCUGCUCAUUUUGGCUUCUUGCCCACAUGCAGGAACCCGGUUUAGUUUUGUUCUCCCUUUACCACAGCCUGGAAAUUUCUGUAAGUGACUCUCAGUCUCACCGGAUUCCAGAUCUUUCACUCUGCCCCAACAUUCAACCACAUGAUUUGCUCUCUAAACUAAACUCUGGAAUUUACAUAAACUAGACUUUUUUUUUUUACACCACGGUCCACCAUCUCUUAUGAAACCAGAAGAACAGCUUUAUGGCAUGACCAAGAACUUGUAAAGAUAAGACACCAGUUUGCAAGAGAAAGGGAAGAAGGGAAUGCAAAGAGCUUCUGGAAAACUUUUUACAUUAUGGUUUGUUUAUCUGCUCCUGGUAAAUAAUGUAAUCCUCUAAACAUUAAAACAAAAUCUAGCAAUUUAAACCAUUAAAUCCUCAGUAAGAAAGGAAUAUAACUUUUUAAAGGAGAAGUUUAUAAACUCUUGGUGAUAUGGAGAGUUUUAGUAAGAGAUCAUGUGUUUUUAAUUAAUAUGAAUUAACAGAUUUAAAGUAGAACGUGAAUGAGUAAUAGUUGAUUUUCAUGAUCAUAAUGUAUUUUUGUCACCCCAUGCUGAAUUCAGGAAAAAUAAAGCUAAUGACUUGAAAGA
Molecule: long non-coding RNA, 2340 nt
Organism: Suricata suricatta (meerkat)
Lineage: Eukaryota; Metazoa; Chordata; Mammalia; Carnivora; Herpestidae
Exons: 4
Source: RefSeq, a predicted model, not a curated record